UAACACUAGCCUCAAAGGUACAGCACCGUACAUCUGACGAUUGGGUAUAUAAUGAAAUGCGUAAAGAAAAGAGGACGUAACAUGCGCAUCACAUGACACGAUGAAGAAGUUCUUAGCAGUCACCACCCCUUGUUAAAAAGAAAAAUACCACACCCCCGGAUGAAAUCUCGGUAGAACCGAAGGACUCGACAAGGACAGCAUCGCACCACUUCGCUUUCAAAAGAUCCGUCUGUUUCCACUGCCGGGAUGGCCACACGCUUCCAUGUGUCGGCCCGAUCCGUGUGAGCUGUGUGACUGGCCUCUCACUCCCCCCUUUUCUUUUCCGUUUCUUUUCGCCAGGCCAAGCUAUCCCUGCGAGGUUUUG
This 364-nucleotide long non-coding RNA is filed under the name Setaria viridis. Its description in RNAcentral is "long non-coding RNA (SVIR_LNC006164)". Lineage: Eukaryota; Viridiplantae; Streptophyta; Magnoliopsida; Poales; Poaceae. The record is from RNAcentral.